Molecule: long non-coding RNA, 328 nt
Organism: Wasmannia auropunctata (little fire ant)
Lineage: Eukaryota; Metazoa; Arthropoda; Insecta; Hymenoptera; Formicidae
Exons: 2
Source: RefSeq, a predicted model, not a curated record
AGUCGCGUGAUUUUUACGCGAAUACAAUCCGCGUAAUUUUUCAGUGUCGUUAUAACAUAUUGAAUAAAUAUGUCGACUUCAUCGCGAAUAUGGCCAAUAUGGAAUAUAAUACGCGCGGAGAGUGAAGCAUGUUCCCGAAGCUCGUGAAGCCGGCAUUUGCAUGAUAAUGACUCGCGGAAAUGGUAUUAGCAUUUACCGGAAGCAAGAGUUUACGGAAGAUAAUGCGAAAAUUUAAACCGAAAUUUUGCGCAAUUUUUCUUCCGCGAUAAAUCCAUUUCGUCGAAUGUAUAAAGAUUAAUUUUAAAGGGAUUAAAAAUAUACAGAAAAA